UUCAUAUUUCAUUAAUUGUUAAAGGUCAUUACAUUGAUACAAUUACUGACUAUUACAUCACAUACUACUUCAAAGCAAAAAAAUAAUCAAUUACAAAAAUAAUUGAGCAUAAGCUCUUUCUUCAUGCCUAAACCCCUCCACCACUACCUUGUGAACAAACUACUGCAUGUACAAACAUAAUAAGCAGGAAUAUAACCAUUUCAGAAGCAAAUGCUUUCAAAAUUCUUAAUUUUUCCUUAAGAAUUCUCUUAUCCUCCUUAGGUUACCUUCUUUUGCCAUCAAGUUGUUCAACUUUUCUGUCCAAAUCAAUAUUUCUCUUUCUUACCCUAUUCAACAAUUGCUCAUAGUUUUCCUUCUCUCUAGCUAGUUGAACAUCUUUCAUAUUCAAUUUUCAGCUAGAAUCUUCUCCAUUUCAAACUUGCACCUUACUUGAUCUUGCAAGCUAUGUCUUUCUGCUUUCAAUCGAAUAAAGCAUCCCUUCUAGAAAGAUAAGAGCUUAGGAUUUACCCAUUUGAAGAACCUACAAUCACCUUUCUAAUGCACACAUAUAAGAGAAAGUUAGUUUCGUUAUAAAUAAAAAAUGUUAAUAGUUAAUAGAAAAUGAACUAACAUCUAAAUGUAAUAACAACCUUCCUAACUGCACAACAAUAAAAACUCCUAACCUCGUUAUUAUUUGUCAUAGAUGUCAACAAAUCAGCAUGCAUAUCAUGACCAGGGCAAUAUAUUACAGGAAUCUCUGAAUAGUUGUUGUAAGAAGCGCUCGAGCCUGAUUGAAGUGAUUUUAUGGUUCUGGUAGAUAAAAAAAAUAUUUGUAAGACCUAAAGAUUAAGAAC
RNAcentral lists this long non-coding RNA (833 nucleotides) under Ricinus communis (castor bean). RNAcentral's name for it is "long non-coding RNA (RCOM_LNC001603)". Lineage: Eukaryota; Viridiplantae; Streptophyta; Magnoliopsida; Malpighiales; Euphorbiaceae. The record is from RNAcentral.